Molecule: RNA transcript, 2587 nt
Organism: Pistacia vera
Lineage: Eukaryota; Viridiplantae; Streptophyta; Magnoliopsida; Sapindales; Anacardiaceae
Gene name: F-box protein At5g39450-like
Exons: 3
Source: RefSeq, a predicted model, not a curated record
AUUUUUUUUUUUGUUUAAUUGUGUUGUUUGAUUGUUGAUUGUGGAGUUUUGUAUAUAGUUUAUUGUUAUGUUGCCUGAAUCUUGUGGUUCUAGUUUGCUUGUGGCUUUGCCUGAUGAUAUAUUUGCAAUUAUAUCAAGGUCUUUGCCACCAAGAGAUAUAUGUAAUCUUAGUUUAUGUUGUAAGAGUUUAUGUGCACUUGUGGCUUCUGAAAAGAUUUGGCUUACACAGUGUGAUGUGGUGGGAAUUCUUAGUAAUGGAGACCUUGUUGAAUGGAGAAAGGGGGUGUCUUCGUAUAAGGCGCUUUGCCGCUUUCUCAUUAGUGUUAAGCCAUUGAUUGGAAUUUGGGUUCAUCAGAACCCUGAGCUUGGCAAUGUGGUGUAUGUUAUGCCUGGUUUUGUUUCUGUUGUUGGCUGCCGGAUAAUACCUCAAGAGCUUGGUCCAUUAGGCAUUAAGGAUGGCCCCAUUUUGUGGGCGCCGGUGUUUGAAAUUGUCGGUGAUUUCAAUGGUGCUACAACGUUUUUUCUUCAUGGAAAGGAGAAGGGUUGUGAUUAUUUUUAUCCUGGUUCGGUGAAGGGUAUUGACCAGAGCUGUAAUGUAUUGUUGCUUGAGGUUCAGCCUAAGCAACAGAAUCAAAGGUGUAAAUUGUUGCAAAGUAAGAGCUUUGCUCAUUGUUCAGAGAAGGAGGUAUCGCAGAAGGUUUGUAGGUCAAAUAGUAACUUGUCGAGGUCACAGAGGGGAUUAGGACAGAGUGAGGCUGUGGUACCUUUCAGCAAGUUGGCUUUUAGUGAUAGAAGAAAGUUGCUUGAGGUUGUAACAGGCCAAGUUCGUCUGAAGGUCCCUGAUGCAGCAGGUGGGCCGCUAUUUCCUCAUUUUAGGGAUGAUAUGGAGAAUUUUGGAAAUGAUUUGGCUGUAUUGUUGGAACGAAGAAAACUGCUUCUGCGCAUGUACAAGCUUGGAGGAGACAACAUCAAUUGGAGGGCAGGUCCUGAACUUCCUUCAGAUCCUACUCAGAUAGAAUUGAGUGAGAUCAGAAAGAGUCUUGAUCGUCCAAGUGGUUUACAUGGUUCGCUCAAUGGGGAUCAUGGACACACACAUAGCAACAAGACGAAAACUAUUGGAGGGUAUUUUAAGGAUAGCAUUAGACAGAUUUUAGGGAAGUCUAGUUCAAUAAAUGGCAGUCGUGCAAUUUCAAAGAAUAGUUCUUCAGGAAGUGAGAAUAGGCAUGCGCAACUUCAUGAAUUUCUGAAGUUGGGAGAUACAAUAGGACUAAUAUUACAUGCCUCCACUAUAAGGUUAUCUUCAUAUCGAGCAUGGCCGAACAUGCAUGACAGUCGGUUUGCCCUUUACAAGUUGCCCAUGCAGGCACCAAGGGAAGACGAAGAGUAUGCUGGUCUAUGGGGAGGAACUUUUGGUUGGCCACCUGGGAGGCCUACUGAAGACAAGCCUGGAAAAGCUCUGUUCUUUCUUUUGCUAUCUUAUGAGGAGUCUCGCGGGCAAAGGAUUCUCAUUGCGACCAAAAUUUUGGAAGGCACCCACUAUGUUCUGCAUCCAAAUGGGUCAGCAAUGUUUAUAGUGAAUGUAGAUGAGCCCUCACUGGAUCCAUUUCCUUGGGAUAAUGAUGCAGAUUCCCUUCCAGUCAAUGUCAAGCAUGCUUUCAGCGGAGAAGGUAUAGCUAAUGGGUAUGGUUUUAGAUAUCCUGGCUCAAAGCCUGGUUCCCUCUUUGUAACUCAAAAUGGCAUACUCGCCUUCAUUUGGAAAGAAUCUAGAGCUGUCUUGACCUUGCAGAGGCUUAACUUGCCGGAACUUUUGAAGAAAGGUGAAAGAGUUCCUGCUCUACCUCCAAUUGCGAACUUCUCUUAUUUGACCAAGUCCUACUCAAAUGUUUUUGCUGGCUUCUCAAAUACAUCUACAUUUUUGUCUUCCCCAAGGUAAGACUUUUAGCUGUUAGCGAUGGGGAAACAAGAUAUUUUACAUGAUGAGGGAUAGCUUGGUUACAUCUUUUUAUGUGGAAGCAAGGAGAUAUAGGGAUCGAAGUCCUAGUGGAAGUAAGAGAUCUUUUCUUUGGAACAAAUUCAUAGGCCUCUAAUAUACAUAAGACUGGUUACUACAACCCUAGUAGGGCAUGCUUUUUAGGAAAAUGACUUGCAGCUUCAUAUAUUUCAUUUGACUCUAUGCAAUACCUUCAGUGACAGCACAGGGACCUCAUAAUACAUCCCUCAUCGGAUGACCUUGCUAUCCUUCUUCCAAGGCAAAACCAUAUGUAGACAUCUAUGAUCAGUAAAUUACAAUGCAAAGCAAAGCUUUGAUUAUUGCUGCACUGCCAUGUGAUAGCCUUACAUAAAGCUCGGCCUUCUAGCUGCUGCUGCUGCUGAUGGUUCAUAGAUCAAUUGCCCUGCACAUGACAGAAGAUUUCUUUUUCAUAGAAUACAUACAGUUGAGGUAAAUUUCAUUGUAUUUGUACAAGAUUUUCCAUGAGCUUUAGAUUCUUAUGGAAAUAAAUAUUAGGUAUAAGCAUCCGUGUUAUAAUUAUAAACGCCAGUGUGGUGUUUUAUUAGUGGAAAGAAAAUAAGAGAUCUUAUUGAAGUC